Molecule: ribosomal RNA, 533 nt
Filed under: uncultured organism
Description: bacterial SSU rRNA
Rfam family: Bacterial small subunit ribosomal RNA
Source: RNAcentral
CGGUGGAGCAUGUUGCUAAAUUCGAUGCAACGCGAAGAACCGUAUCGUGGGCUUGACAGGCUUGGAUGCCCCCGUGGGAAACAGGGAUCGGCUGCCCUUCGGGGUGAAACUUGCACAGGUGCUGCAUGGCUGUCGUCAGCUCGUGUCGUGAGAUGUUGGGUUAAGUCCCGUAACGAGCGAAACCCUUGUCGUUAGUUGCCAGCGGGUCAUGCCGGGGACUCUAACGAGACUGCCGGUGUCAAACCGGAGGAAGGUGGGGAUGACGUCAAGUCCUCAUGGCCUUUAUGCCCAGGGCCGCAAACGUGCUACAAUGGCUGGUACAAACCGACGCGAGACCGCGAGGUGGAGCAAAUCGGAAAAAGCCAGCCCCAGUUCGGAUUGCAGUCUGCAACUCGACUGCAUGAAGUCGGAAUCGCUAGUAAUCGCGCAUCAGCGUGGCGCGGUGAAUAUGUUCCUGAGCCUUGUACACACCGCCCGUCAAGUCAUGGAAGCUGGGAGCACCCGACGUCGGGGCAAUUCAGUCCUGCCGAAGG